AGAGUUUGAUCCUGGCUCAGGAUGAACGCUAGCUACAGGCUUAACACAUGCAAGUCGAGGGGCAGCAUUUCAGUUUGCUUGCAAACUGGAGAUGGCGACCGGCGCACGGGUGAGUAACACGUAUCCAACCUGCCGAUAACUCGGGGAUAGCCUUUCGAAAGAAAGAUUAAUACCCGAUGGUAUAAUCAGACCGCAUGGUCUUGUUUAUUAAAGAAUUUCGGUUUCGAUGGGGAUGCGUUCCAUUAGGCAGUUGGUGAGGUAACGGCUCACCAAACCUUCGAUGGAUAGGGGUUCUGAGAGGAAGGUCCCCCACAUUGGAACUGAGACACGGUCCAAACUCCUACGGGAGGCAGCAGUGAGGAAUAUUGGUCAAUGGGCGCAGGCCUGAACCAGCCAAGUAGCGUGAAGGAUGAUGCCUAUGGGUUGUAAACUUCUUUUAUAUGGGAAUAAAGUUUUCCACGUGUGGAAUUUUGUAUGUACCAUAUGAAUAAGGAUCGGCUAACUCCGUGCCAGCAGCCGCGGUAAUACGGAGGAUCCGAGCGUUAUCCGGAUUUAUUGGGUUUAAAGGGAGCGUAGGUGGACAGUUAAGUCAGUUGUGAAAGUUUGCGGCUCAACCGUAAAAUUGCAGUUGAUACUGGCUGUCUUGAGUACAGUAGAGGUGGGCGGAAUUCGUGGUGUAGCGGUGAAAUGCUUAGAUAUCACGAAGAACUCCGAUUGCGAAGGCAGCUCACUGGACUGCAACUGACACUGAUGCUCGAAAGUGUGGGUAUCAAACAGGAUUAGAUACCCUGGUAGUCCACACAGUAAACGAUGAAUACUCGCUGUUUGCGAUAUACAGUAAGCGGCCAAGCGAAAGCAUUAAGUAUUCCACCUGGGGAGUACGCCGGCAACGGUGAAACUCAAAGGAAUUGACGGGGGCCGCACAAGCGGAGGAACAUGUGGUUUAAUUCGAUGAUACGCGAGGAACCUUACCCGGGCUUAAAUUGCAUUUGAAUAUAUUGGAAACAGUAUAGCCGUAAGGCAAAUGUGAAGGUGCUGCAUGGUUGUCGUCAGCUCGUGCCGUGAGGUGUCGGCUUAAGUGCCAUAACGAGCGCAACCCUUAUCUUUAGUUACUAACAGGUCAUGCUGAGGACUCUAGAGAGACUGCCGUCGUAAGAUGUGAGGAAGGUGGGGAUGACGUCAAAUCAGCACGGCCCUUACGUCCGGGGCUACACACGUGUUACAAUGGGGGUACAGAAGGCAGCUACCUGGUGACAGGAUGCUAAUCCCAAAAGCCUCUCUCAGUUCGGAUCGAAGUCUGCAACCCGACUUCGUGAAGCUGGAUUCGCUAGUAAUCGCGCAUCAGCCAUGGCGCGGUGAAUACGUUCCCGGGCCUUGUACACACCGCCCGUCAAGCCAUGAAAGCCGGGGGUACCUGAAGUACGUAACCGCAAGGAGCGUCCUAGGGUAAAACUGGUAAUUGGGGCUAAGUCGUAACAAGGUAGCCGUACCGGAAGGUGCGGCUG
RNAcentral lists this ribosomal RNA (1505 nucleotides) under mixed sample. RNAcentral's name for it is "bacterial SSU rRNA". It matches the Rfam family "Bacterial small subunit ribosomal RNA". The record is from RNAcentral.